GCAUAUCAAUAAGCGGAGGAAAAGAAACCAACAGGGAUUGCCUUAGUAACGGCGAGUGAAGCGGCAACAGCUCAAAUUUGAAAUCUGGCCCUCGGGUCCGAAUUGUAAUUUGUAGAGGAUGAUUUUGGUGCGGUAUCUUCCGAGUUCCUUGGAACAGGACGCCUUAGAGGGUGAGAGCCCCGUACGGUUGAAUGCCUAGCCUCUGUAAAUCUCCUUCGACGAGUCGAGUAGUUUGGGAAUGCUGCUCUAAAUGGGAGGUAAAUUUCUUCUAAAGCUAAAUAUUGGCCAGAGACCGAUAGCGCACAAGUAGAGUGAUCGAAAGAUGAAAAGCACUUUGAAAAGAGGGUUAAAUAGCACGUGAAAUUGUUGAAAGGGAAGGAUUUGUGACCAGACUUUUUCUGGGCGGAUCAUCCGGGGUUCUCUCCGGUGCACUUUGCCCAGUAAAGGCCAGCAUCGAUUUUCGGCGGCGGAUAAAAGCAGUGGGAAUGUGGCUCCCCACGGGGAGUGUUAUAGCCCAUUGUAUAAUACGCUGCUGGGGAUCGAGGUACGCGCUUCUGCAAGGAUGCUGGCGUAAUGGUUAUCAAUCACCCGUCUUGAAACACGGACCAAGGAGUCGAACAUUUAUGCGAGUGUUUGGGUGUUAAACCCUCACGCGUAAUGAAAGUGAACGGAGGUGAGAGCCCGUACGGGUGCAUCAUCGACCGAUCCUGAAGUUUUCGGAUGGAUUUGAGUAAGAGCAUAACUGUUCGGACCCGAAAGAUGGUGAACUAUGCGUGGAUAGGGUGAAGCCAGAGGAAACUCUGGUGGAGGCUCGCAGCGGUUCUGACGUGCAAAUCGAUCGUCAAAUCUGCGCAUGGGGGCGAAAGACUAAUCGAACCAUCUAGUAGCUGGUUACGCGAA
RNAcentral lists this ribosomal RNA (900 nucleotides) under Pestalotiopsis funerea var. discolor. RNAcentral's name for it is "LSU rRNA". It matches the Rfam family "Eukaryotic large subunit ribosomal RNA", at positions 38 to 965 of the family's 3401-position model. Lineage: Eukaryota; Fungi; Ascomycota; Sordariomycetes; Amphisphaeriales; Sporocadaceae. The record is from RNAcentral.